CUGGGCGUAAAGAGCUCGUAGGUGGUUUGUCGCGUUGUUCGUGAAAUCUCACGGCUUAACUGUGAGCGUGCGGGCGAUACGGGCAGACUUGAGUACUGCAGGGGAGACUGGAAUUCCUGGUGUAGCGGUGGAAUGCGCAGAUAUCAGGAGGAACACCGGUGGCGAAGGCGGGUCUCUGGGCAGUAACUGACGCUGAGGAGCGAAAGCGUGGGGAGCGAACAGGAUUAGAUACCCUGGUAGUCCACGCCGUAAACGGUGGGUACUAGGUGUGGGUUUCCUUCCUUGGGAUCCGUGCCGUAGCUAACGCAUUAAGUACCCCGCCUGGGGAGUACGGCCGCAAGGCUAAAACUCAAAGAAAUUGACGGGGGCCCGCACAAGCGGCGGAGCAUGUGGAUUAAUUCGAUGCAACGCGAAGAACCUUACCUGGGUUUGACAUGCACAGGACGCCGGCAGAGAUGUCGGUUCCCUUGUGGCCUGUGUGCAGGUGGUGCAUGGCUGUCGUCAGCUCGUGUCGUGAGAUGUUGGGUUAAGUCCCGCAACGAGCGCAACCCUUGUCUCAUGUUGCCAGCGGGUAAUGCCGGGGACUCGUGAGAGACUGCCGGGGUCAACUCGGAGGAAGGUGGGGAUGACGUCAAGUCAUCAUGCCCCUUAUGUCCAGGGCUUCACACAUGCUACAAUGGCCGGUACAAAGGGCUGCGAUGCCGCGAGGUUAAGCGAAUCCUUUUAAAGCCGGUCUCAGUUCGGAUCGGGGUCUGCAACUCGACCCCGUGAAGUCGGAGUCGCUAGUAAUCGCAGA
Molecule: ribosomal RNA, 796 nt
Filed under: uncultured Mycobacterium sp.
Lineage: Bacteria; Bacillati; Actinomycetota; Actinomycetes; Mycobacteriales; Mycobacteriaceae
Description: bacterial SSU rRNA
Rfam family: Bacterial small subunit ribosomal RNA
Source: RNAcentral